This 125-nucleotide ribosomal RNA is filed under the name Felis catus (domestic cat). Lineage: Eukaryota; Metazoa; Chordata; Mammalia; Carnivora; Felidae. The record is from RNAcentral.
GUCUACGGCCGUACCACCCUGAACGCGCCCGAUCUCAUCUGAUCUCGGAAGCUAAGCAGGGUCGGGCCUGGUUAGUACUUGGAUGGGAGAAAUAGACCAUGACCAUGGUUCAGGUGCUGGAGUGC